UACGGAGGCAGCAGUGGGGAAUAUUGCACAAUGGGCGCAAGCCUGAUGCAGCCAUGCCGCGUGUAUGAAGAAGGCCUUCGGGUUGUAAAGUACUUUCAGUCGUGAGGAAGGUGUUAAGGUUAAUAACCUUAGCAAUUGACGUUAGCGACAGAAGAAGCACCGGCUAACUCCGUGCCAGCAGCCGCGGUAAUACGGAGGGUGCGAGCGUUAAUCGGAAUUACUGGGCGUAAAGGGCACGCAGGCGGUUAAUUAAGUUGGAUGUGAAAUCCCCGGGCUUAACCUGGGAAUGGCAUUCAAGACUGGUUAGCUAGAGUCUUGUAGAGGGGGUAGAAUUCCAUGUGUAGCGGUGAAAUGCGUAGAGAUGUGGAGGAAUACCGGUGGCGAAAGGCGGCCCCUGGACAAAGACUGACGCUCAUGUGCGAAAGCGUGGGGAGCAAACAGGGAUUAGAUACC
This 453-nucleotide ribosomal RNA is filed under the name uncultured bacterium. RNAcentral's name for it is "bacterial SSU rRNA". It matches the Rfam family "Bacterial small subunit ribosomal RNA", at positions 340 to 786 of the family's 1533-position model. The record is from RNAcentral.